AUACCCCUGCGAUGUUCGUUACAUUGCUCCAAAGGUUUUGAGCCAACACUCUAACCUAGGGAGCCUGAUACUCCUUCUUUCAAAAACAUGCCUCCUUUGAGUGGACGUUUGCGAUUGGUAGGGAAGGCACCCACCUGCACAUGCAGGUUCAAAACACGGAGCUGGACGGCAUUGUGGGGAUUAA
Molecule: non-coding RNA, 184 nt
Organism: Phascolarctobacterium sp.
Lineage: Bacteria; Bacillati; Bacillota; Negativicutes; Acidaminococcales; Acidaminococcaceae
Rfam family: 6S / SsrS RNA
About the family: E. coli 6S RNA was the first non coding RNA to be sequenced, but its function was unknown until recently.
Source: Rfam